Molecule: ribosomal RNA, 501 nt
Filed under: uncultured bacterium
Lineage: Bacteria
Description: bacterial SSU rRNA
Rfam family: Bacterial small subunit ribosomal RNA
Source: RNAcentral
AUUGAACGCUGGCGGCAUGCUUUACACAUGCAAGUCGAACGGCAGCGCGGGGGGCAACCCUGGCGGCGAGUGGCGAACGGGUGAGUAAUGUAUCGGAACGUAUCCUGUAAUGGGGGAUAACCAGUCGAAAGAUUGGGUAAUACCGCAUACGCACGAGAGUGGAAAGUAGGGGAUCGCAAGACCUUACGUUAUAGGAGCGGCCGAUAUCUGAUUAGCUAGUUGGUGGGGUAAAAGCUUACCAAGCCGACGAUCUGUAGCUGGUCUGAGAGGACGACCAGCCACACUGGGACUGAGACACGGCCCAGACUCCUACGGGAGGCAGCAGUGGGGAAUUUUGGACAAUGGGCGCAAGCCUGAUCCAGCCAUGCCGCGUGUAGGAUGAAGGCCUUCGGGUUGUAAACUGCUUUUGUACGGAACGAAAGACUCUUUCUAAUAAAGAGGGUCCAUGACGGUACCGUAAGAAUAAGCACCGGCUAACUACGUGCCAGCAGCCGCGGUAAU